CGUUAAGAAAUCUUUCUGGGGCAACUCUUGUACCCAGAGAACCAGCGUAUACAAAACAGGGAAAAGUACACACCUAGCCCUUAAAAUAUAAUAAAGGAAAAGCCUAACAACUAUAAAAAGGCUUAAUUAAUAGCCCAGGAAUCAAUAACACGUAUUUGUUCCCACUUAGCAGCACUUGAAGGGAUGGUCUGCCACCAAGGUUUCUGAUGUGGUUUGGCUGUGUUCCCACCCAAAUCUCAUCUUGAAUCGUAGUUCCCAUAACCCUCAUGGUCGUGGGAGGGACUCAAUGAGAGGUAAUUGAAUCAUGGGGGUGAUUACCUCCACGCUGUUCUCAUGAUAGUGAGUGAGUUCUCACAAGAUCUGAUGGCUUUAUAAGGGGCUUUCACCGCCUUUGCUCUGAGCUUCUUGUUGCUGCCACGUGAAGAAGGACAUGCUUACUUCACCUUCCGCCAUGGUUGUAAAUUUCUUGAAUCCUCCCUGGGCCUGCAGAACGUUCUAAUCCGCUUUUGCAAUCACCCAAGCAUCACUUCCUCUGGGACUCUGUAGCAGGCUGUAUUAUGGGCCAAGAUAUUCACCACCCCUUCCCACUGGCCUGACCCUGUGGAAGGAUUAUACUUCUUGCUCCAUUUACAGCAGACCUAAUCACAUGACUUCCUUAGCCAAUGAAACCUGAGAGGAGUGACACAUGCCACUUUGCAGCAGAAGCCAUUGUUUGGCUCUACCAUUUUCAUUUUCCCUCUGCCAAGAGACCAUGGAGGAACUACACCUUUACCCUUGGUUCCAGAAUGAAGAGAGUUUAAGGCAGAACCUCAGGAGACAUCUGGUGGACAUGAAUGUCAGAAAGAUAAAAGCUUUAUUGGUUUUUAGUCACUGAGAUGUUAGAGUCAUUUGUUACUGCAGCAUCCUGUAGCCCACGCCGACUGAUAGACUAACCUGGGUGGAUUUCAGCAGCUUCUUCCCUUAUGUUCUCAUUGCACCUCAUGUGCAAUCCAGUUAUACCGAUUACCUCACUGUGAUGUAAUCAUUUACUGUCUUCUCCCCCACAUCAGAGUCCAGGUCAUCUCUGUUAUGUUCCCCCAGUGCUUUGCACAAGGCAUGGAACACAGGAGGCCCUCAAAAAUGGGAAUGAAUAAAUG
RNAcentral lists this long non-coding RNA (1136 nucleotides) under Homo sapiens (human). Its description in RNAcentral is "HSALNT0174548". The record is from RNAcentral. Lineage: Eukaryota; Metazoa; Chordata; Mammalia; Primates; Hominidae.